GACGAACGCUGGCGGCGUGCUUAACACAUGCAAGUCGAACGGAAAGGCCCUGCUUUUGUGGGGGGCUCGAGUGGCGAACGGGUGAGUAACACGUGAGUAACCUGCCCUUGACUGUGGGAUAACUUCAGGAAACUGGGGCUAAUACCGGAUAGGAGCUCCUGCUGCAGGGGGGGGGUUGGAAAGUUUCGGCGGUUGGGGAUGGACUCGCGGCUUAUCAGCUUGGUGGUGGGGUAGUGGCUUACCAAGGCUUUGACGGGUAGCCGGCCUGAGAGGGUGACCGGCCACAUUGGGACUGAGAUACGGCCCAGAGUCCUACGGGAGGCAGCAGUGGGGAAUAUUGCACAAUGGGCGGAAGCCUGAUGCAGCAACGCCGCGUGCGGGAUGACGGCCUUCGGGUUGUAAACCGCUUUCGCCUGUGACGAAGCGUGAGUGACGGUAAUGGGUAAAGAAGCACCGGCUAACUACGUG
This 468-nucleotide ribosomal RNA is filed under the name uncultured bacterium. RNAcentral describes it as "partial 16S ribosomal RNA". It matches the Rfam family "Bacterial small subunit ribosomal RNA", at positions 28 to 507 of the family's 1533-position model. The record is from RNAcentral.